Molecule: long non-coding RNA, 2476 nt
Filed under: Sus scrofa (pig)
Lineage: Eukaryota; Metazoa; Chordata; Mammalia; Artiodactyla; Suidae
Description: lncRNA (ENSSSCG00015071483.1)
Source: RNAcentral
UUUUUUUUUCUUUUCACGAACACUUCUGCAAUGAUUGCUUACUAAAGUUUUUACAAAAUGUAAAGUCCCUCCCUGGAAAAUAAUAGGGAAUUUAAUAUAAAACACAAAUUGUUAAUUAACCAAUUCAAGCUUUGUAUCUCAGAUUUUGAAAAGUAACAUUAAGCAUCCUAAUAUCUUUCUCUUAUCUAUGCAUAUAGUCCAGUAAUCAGGCCAGUGUAAGCUAUCUGGAAGUAAACAUGGAUGCAUUUGUACUAAGUCACGGCAUAAACACACCCAUGUCAUAAUUCAGACAGUUUGAAGACUGAGUUCCAGCCUCUUAAAGACAAAUAAGAAUUCUGUAAAACACACAGCGAAAGUGGCUAUUCAGAGACACUCCAAAUGCACACGGCAGAAUAAAUGUGAUGAAAUGCUAUUCUUUUGUUCCUAUAAUGCUUUCUUUUAAAUUAAUAAGCAUCUUUGAAAGUUAUAAAACAACACCAAUCCAUUUUCCGAAGUGAAAUCAAUGUGUAAGAGGAUUAGAGAGCAUCCUACAAGUGCAAAUCAUUUUGGCACAAGGUAUUUCCCUACCCUGCACGUUUUUUGUUUGAAAACUAUUAUCAGGGCAGGAACUGACACAAUAUUGUACGUCAAUUAAAAAAACAAACUCAAAGAGUUUCCGUUGUGGUUCAAUGGUAACAAACCCUUCUGGUACCCAUGAGGAUGCAGGUUCAAUCACUGGCUUCACUCAGUGGGUUAAGGACCCAAUACUGCUGCAAGCUGCAGUGUAGGUCACAGGUGUGGCUCAGAUUUGGUGUUGCUGUGGCGUAGGCCUGCAGCUGCAGCUCGAGUUCCAAUCCUAGCCUAGGACAUCCGCAGGUGUGGCCAUAAAAAGAAAAAACAAAGACGAAAAACCUUAAGAAAUUUCAAAAAUAAAUACAUACAACUAUUUCUGAGUAUUCUUUCAUGAAUAGAACAGAGGUAAUCUAAAAGUUGAGUUGUGAGUUUUGUUUCCGAUGAAGCUGUCAACAUCAUUUGAAUACUGAAGACUGAGGGCUGUUUUCCAUGGAAAGUUAUAGCUAAAGGGGCAAAAGCAGACAAGGGUCACCUGGUUGAGGUCCAAGGGAGAACUAACACAGCCUGGCUCACGUAUAGAUGAAAUACAGAAAUGCCACGUGCUGGUCACCUGAGCAAUCUGGAAAACACAAUCACAAAAGUUCAAACAAAAAUCACACUAUAGGGAGUUCCCGUCGUGGCGCAGUGGUUAACGAAUCCGACUAGGAAGCAUGAGGUUGUAGGUUCGAUCCCUGGCCUUGCUCAGUGGGUUAAUGAUCCAGCGUUGCCGUGAGCUGUAGUGUAGUUCACAGACACGGCUCAGAUCCUGCAUUGCUAUGGCUGUGGUGUAGGCCAGAGGCUAUAGCUCUGAUUCGACCCCUAGCCUGGGAACCUCCACAUGCCUCAGGAGCGGCCCAAGAAAUGGCAAAAAAAAAAAAAAGAAAAAAAAUCACACCAUGGGAGUUCUGGAACGUGGUGCAGUGGAAACGAAUCCAACUAGGAACCAUAAGCUUGCGGUUUGAUCUGUGGUCUUGCUCAAGGGGUUAAGGAUCCAGCGUUGCCAUGAGCUGUGGUAUAGACAUGGCUCCGAUUCCAGGUUGCUGUGGCUGUGGUGUAGGCCGGCAGCUGUAGCUCAGAUUAGACCCCUAGCCUGGGACCCUCCAUAUGCCGCAAGUGAGGCCCUAAAAAGCAAAAAAAAAAAGAAGAAAAAAUCACAUCAUUUCCACAGUUCUGAAACCUUAAUAAGAUUCUUAAUGACAUAAAAGUUAAUCUGGAGGUUUCAAACAGGAAGAUCUAGGUCAAGAGCAUUAGAAAAAAAUGCACUGUCUCACCUGAGAUACAGCCUUGUUAAAUAUUAAAAUACAAAAUGCUGUGACUUUUAACUAGCCUCUAAGAUCCAAGACGGUAAGUCUCAAAGUUAAGUGUGCACAAAAUUACUUAGGGGUAGGGGAGGAGUGCUUCCAUGAGUGAGUUUCCUGAGCAGCAACUUUAGUCUGCAUCAAGCCCAGGAAUCUGCAUUUUUAAUAACCCUCACAUUCUCACACUGCACUCAGACACCAGCCUACAAGGGGUUCCUGUAACAACUUACCAGUCUAAUGAACAUUCUUAAAGACCACCCAUUUCCGAUGAUUAACAAAAUUAAUGUGCAAUAAAUUCCUAUGUUUUAGUCCUCUAACCCCUUUCUGCUCCAGGAGUAAUAAGUUAAUGGUGAGUCACAAGCACAAUGAUAGAAGGUCAGAAGAACAGGUAAGAAAAACCACCUUUUAAAGAUAGAAGAUAGUAACUGAACCUUCUGGAAAGGCUUAUCACUAUUAUUUAAUUUUAUUUAUAUUCUAUGGCCUCAGCCAUGGCAUAUGGAAGUUCCCAAGCCAGGGACUAAAUCUAACCAGUGGCUGUGAUUUACACUGCAUCUGCAGUAAUGCUGGAUCCUUUAACCCACUUCCCC